CAUUGUUUCACAGCCAUAGGCCGUUUCAUAAACCUAAUUUCACUUCCCUUCUCUGUCUCUCUCUCUCACCCUCACACUUUCUCCGCCGGCGGGAAAACCAUGUCGCACUUCGGAAGGUCAGGUCCGCCGGAUAUCAGCGACACCUACUCUCUUCUCGUCCUCAACAUCACAUUCCGUACGACUGCAGAUGAUCUGUAUCCACUAUUCGCAAAGUACGGAAAGGUCGUGGAUGUCUUUAUCCCCCGAGAUCGAAGGACUGGUGAUUCGCGUGGUUUUGCAUUUGUUCGCUAUAAGUACAAAGAUGAAGCUCACAAAGCAGUUGAAAGGCUUGAUGGAAGAGUUGUUGAUGGCAGAGAAAUUACUGUUCAGUUUGCAAAAUAUGGUCCAAAUGCUGAAAAGAUUUCCAAAGGAAGAGUUGUGGAACCGCCUCCAAAGUCACGAAGGUCAAGAAGCCGUAGUCCUCGAAGGAGCGGUAGUCCGUAUAGACGCCGUAGUCCUAGGAGAAGCCGCAGUCCCCGUAGGAGGUCCCGAGAUGAUUACAGAGAAAGAGACUACCGGAAGAGGAGCAGAAGCAGAAGUAGAAGCUAUGAAAGGCGUGAAAGGCAUCAGGAGAAGGAUAGAGAUCAUCGUCGCCGCAGUAGGUCUCGUAGUGCCAGCCCAGAUGACAAACGCAGAGUCAGAGGUCGUUAUGAUGAUGAUAGCCGCAGUCGCAGUCGCUCUUUGAGUGCAUCUCCUGCUCGCCGCAGCCUCAGCCCUAGAAGUGCUUCCCCAUUAAAAGCCUCUCCUGAAAGGCGAAGCAAAGAGAGGUCUCUGUCUCCUGCUCGCCGCAGCCGUAGCCCAAGAAGUCCCUCCCUGCAAAAGGCCUCUCCUUCUAAGGAGUUGUCUCCUGAGAGGAAGAGUAAUGACAGGUCCCCAUCUCCUGAUAGCCGUUCUCCUCGGGACAAAGCUCGUAGUCAAUCUCCUGAUGUUGAGGAAUGAUCGGAUACUUGUGAAGGAGACAUGGUGUAUGAAAAACAUGUUCGCUUGUAUUAAUGAUGUUUCAUCUUCAAGCAUAUGGGAACUUCUAUCCUCUGUAGUAUUGCUUGCUUUUCCUCUGGUUCGAGAAAAGAAUUGAGUUGGGAAGAUGGCACAACCAUGUUGAGAUUGUAGCUGUUGAUGCUGUUUUAAGAAUCCGUAGAUAUGAUGUCGAUGAUGGAUGAUGCUGUUUAUGAAACCGUAGAUGAUUGAUGUCAUGAUCGAUGAUAGAUGUCAUGCUCGAUGAUAGAUGCCGAUCGCAGCAAUCUGCUGAAUCUCCCCUUAAGCAUAAAAUAGUUAGCAUCUUUGUCUCUAACUUGUUUUCAAAACUAAGAAGGGUUUGGUGUCGUUAGUUGAUUGCCCUCAGUUUUGAAUCCAAUUUUGGGAGGAUCGUAAUCAAUUUCCUCGUUUUUUA
This is an RNA transcript of Eutrema salsugineum, 1429 nucleotides long. It is a transcript of the gene named serine/arginine-rich splicing factor SC35, with no coding region annotated. NCBI's taxonomy places the organism in Eukaryota, Viridiplantae, Streptophyta, Magnoliopsida, Brassicales, Brassicaceae. The record is from RefSeq and is a predicted model, not a curated record. The transcript is spliced from 9 exons.